UACGAAGGGUGCAAGCGUUACUCGGAAUUACUGGGCGUAAAGCGUGCGUAGGUGGUUUGUUAAGUCUGUUGUGAAAGCCCCGGGCUCAACCUGGGAAUGGCAAUGGAUACUGGCAAGCUAGAGUGCGGUAGAGGGUAGUGGAAUUCCCGGUGUAGCGGUGAAAUGCGUAGAGAUCGGGAGGAACACCAAUAGCGAAGGCAGCUCGCUGGGACGUUACUGACACUGAGGCGCGAAAGCGUGGGGAGCGAACAGG
This 253-nucleotide ribosomal RNA is filed under the name uncultured bacterium. RNAcentral's name for it is "partial 16S ribosomal RNA". It matches the Rfam family "Bacterial small subunit ribosomal RNA", at positions 524 to 776 of the family's 1533-position model. The record is from RNAcentral.